This 468-nucleotide ribosomal RNA is filed under the name uncultured bacterium. Its description in RNAcentral is "partial 16S ribosomal RNA". It matches the Rfam family "Bacterial small subunit ribosomal RNA", at positions 28 to 507 of the family's 1533-position model. The record is from RNAcentral.
GACGAACGCUGGCGGCGUGCUUAACACAUGCAAGUCGAACGGAAAGGCCCUGCUUUUGUGGGGUGCUCGAGUGGCGAACGGGUGAGUAACACGUGAGUAACCUGCCCUUGACUUUGGGAUAACUUCAGGAAACUGGGGCUAAUACCGGAUAGGAGCUCCUGCUGCAUGGUGGGGGUUGGAAAGUUUCGGCGGUUGGGGAUGGACUCGCGGGUUAUCCGCUAGUUGGUGGGGUAGUUGCUUACCAAGGCUUUGACGGGUAGGCGGCCUGAGAGGGUGACCGGGGACAUUGGGACUGAGAGAGGGACCAGUCUGCUACGGGAGGCAGCAGUGGGGAAUCUUGCACAAUGAGCGGAAGCCUGAUGCAGAAACGCCGCGUGCGGGAAGACGGCCUUCGGGUUGUAAACCGCUUUCGCCUGUGACGAAGCGUGAGUGACGGUAAUGGGUAAAGAAGCACCGGCUAACUACGUG